GAAGAACCUUACCAGCCCUUGACAUGGCAGGACGGAUACCGGAGACGGUAUUCUUCACUUUGGUGACCUGAGCACAGGUGCUGCAUGGCUGUCGUCAGCUCGUGUCGUGAGAUGUUGGGUUAAGUCCCGCAACGAGCGCAACCCUCGCCCUUAGUUGCCAGCAUUUGGUUGGGCACUCUAGGGGGACUGCCGGUGAUAAGCCGAGAGGAAGGUGGGGAUGACGUCAAGUCCUCAUGGCCCUUACGGGCUGGGCUACACACGUGCUACAAUGGUGGUGACAGUGGGCAGCGAGACAGCGAUGUCGAGCUAAUCUCCAAAAGCCAUCUCAGUUCGGAUUGCACUCUGCAACUCGAGUGCAUGAAGUGGAAUCGCGUGGUGAU
RNAcentral lists this ribosomal RNA (380 nucleotides) under uncultured bacterium. RNAcentral's name for it is "bacterial SSU rRNA". It matches the Rfam family "Bacterial small subunit ribosomal RNA", at positions 963 to 1335 of the family's 1533-position model. The record is from RNAcentral.